This 366-nucleotide ribosomal RNA is filed under the name uncultured bacterium. RNAcentral describes it as "bacterial SSU rRNA". It matches the Rfam family "Bacterial small subunit ribosomal RNA", at positions 8 to 400 of the family's 1533-position model. The record is from RNAcentral.
AGAGUUUGAUCCUGGCUCAGAGCGAACGCUGGCGGCAGGCUUAACACAUGCAAGUCGAACGGGCGUAGCAAUACGUCAGUGGCAGACGGGUGAGUAACGCGUGGGAACGUACCUUUUGGUUCGGAACAACUGAGGGAAACUUCAGCUAAUACCGGAUAAGCCCUUACGGGGAAAGAUUUAUCGCCGAAAGAUCGGCCCGCGUCUGAUUAGCUAGUUGGUGAGGUAAUGGCUCACCAAGGCGACGAUCAGUAGCUGGUCUGAGAGGAUGAUCAGCCACAUUGGGACUGAGACACGGCCCAAACUCCUACGGGAGGCAGCAGUGGGGAAUAUUGGACAAUGGGCGAAAGCCUGAUCCAGCCAUGCCGC